This 374-nucleotide ribosomal RNA is filed under the name uncultured bacterium. RNAcentral describes it as "bacterial SSU rRNA". It matches the Rfam family "Bacterial small subunit ribosomal RNA", at positions 524 to 898 of the family's 1533-position model. The record is from RNAcentral.
UACGUAGGGUGCGAGCGUUAAUCGGAAUUACUGGGCGUAAAGCGUGCGCAGGCGGUUCGCUAAGACAGGUGUGAAAUCCCCGGGCUUAACCUGGGAAUGGCGCUUGUGACUGGCGGGCUGGAGUACGGCAGAGGGAGGUGGAAUUCCACGUGUAGCAGUGAAAUGCGUAGAGAUGUGGAGGAACACCGAUGGCGAAGGCAGCCUCCUGGGCCAGUACUGACGCUCAUGCACGAAAGCGUGGGGAGCAAACAGGAUUAGAUACCCUGGUAGUCCACGCCCUAAACGAUGCGAACUAGUCGUUGGAGGAGCAAUCCUUUAGUGACGCAGCUAACGCGUGAAGUUCGCCGCCUGGGGAGUACGGUCGCAAGAUUAAA